This 106-nucleotide transfer RNA is filed under the name Hypoxylon rubiginosum. Its description in RNAcentral is "tRNA-Phe". It matches the Rfam family "tRNA". Rfam says of the family: Transfer RNA (tRNA) molecules are approximately 80 nucleotides in length. Their secondary structure includes four short double-helical elements and three loops (D, anti-codon, and T loops). The record is from RNAcentral. Lineage: Eukaryota; Fungi; Ascomycota; Sordariomycetes; Xylariales; Hypoxylaceae.
GCGGGGAUAGCUCAGCUGGGAGAGCGUCAGACUGAAGUCCAACUUCGGGAAUAUACUAAGGUAUUCAUGAAUCUGAAGGCCGCGCGUUCGAUCCGCGCUCACCGCA